Long non-coding RNA from Camelus dromedarius (Arabian camel), 2146 nucleotides. RefSeq lists it as uncharacterized. Lineage: Eukaryota; Metazoa; Chordata; Mammalia; Artiodactyla; Camelidae. The transcript is spliced from 3 exons. The record is from RefSeq and is a predicted model, not a curated record.
CUGUAGCAGUCCCCAGCGGUGGCAAAAGGGACUGGAUGUCCUUCGCUUGUCCUGGCAAACUGGAACACCGUGGACACGUGAGCUGUCUUUAAUGACUCCUAUGAUUAAUGUCCCUAACAACAAUGCAGCAUUGGCCAGACUAUGAAAUCAGCCCACACGCAGGCGAGCUGAAAAAAAGGGCCAGGCUACCUUGUUGGAAAGUGGGUGACCAGACCAGUCAAAGAACAAAUGGAGAAAUUGACAGCAGUGUGUCCUGAAUCUGCUAUGCAGUCUUUUGUCAAAAGGAAGAGGAGGUACAAAAUCCAUUUAUCUAACGUUGUUUGAAAUGAAAAAAGAAAAAAGCAAUCUUCAAAUUACCAACUGGUUCAUUGUAAAAGUCAGGUAUAUGGUGUUUGGACAUCUUUACCCCCAGAGAGUAUACUUGCAAGGGAAAAAGGCAGAAAUUAUACUAUGGAGAUAGCUCGUAACUCAUUCAUUCCCUCAUUCAACCAAUACAGGUGGACGUCAGAGACAUGGCAGGUUUGGUUCCAGACCACCACCAAUGAGUAUCACCAUAAAGUGAGUCAUAUGAGUUUCCUGGUUUCCAGUGCAUAUAAAAGUUAUAUUUAUACUACAGUCUACUAAAUGUGCAAUAGUAUUAUGUCUUAAAACACAAUGUACAUAAUUUAAAAAUAAUUUAAUGCUAAAAAAUGCUAACCAUCACCUCAGCCUUCAGUGUGUACUAGUAGUAACAUCAAAGAUCACUGAUCACAAAUCACUGUAACACACACAAUAGAGAAAAAUUUUGGAAUAUUGCAGUAAUUACCAAACGUGACACAGAGACACAAUGCGCAAAUACUGUCAGAAAAAUGGUGCAGACAUACUUGCUCAACUCAGGGUUGCCAUGAACCUUCAAUUUGUAAAAAAAAAAAAAAAACCCAAAAAACCAAAAAAAAAAACCAACCUGAAAAAACCAACACACACAGUACCUGCAAAGUGCAAUAAAGUAACACACAAGAAAAUGAGGUCUGCCUGUUUGCUACGUGCCACGGUCUGUGCUGGGCACAGGGAUACAGCCCUGGCAUCUUCCUACUCCCCUUCUCUCUCUGUUAUGACACCUGGGUGGCUGCUCCUCCCAGCUUGGGGUCCAUGUGUCAAGACUGGCUAACUGGUGACCCUUGAGGUUUACACUCAGGGCCGCCUAGAAUGGCCGUGUGAGCAGGUCUGACUUUCGUAACAGACAGUGUGAUGCAGGUAGCAGCCAUCAGCUGUGACAGCGGGGUAAGAGGAAGGACCAGGGGCUAGGAUUCCCACAAUGUUGAAAGGGGUGCCUGGGCAGUGGCAGAAGAGGUGGAGCUGAGUUAAGUAGGCACGGGGGAGAUGGAGAGAUGAGGGCACUCUCAGGAGGGGCUCAGCAUGCAUGGCUGCAGGUGGCUGUUACGGGGAAGUGGGGUAGGGAAGUGACUCUAGCAGUUUGGGGUUGUUAAAGCCUUUGGUUUGAACCUAAAUAAGCAAUUCUCCAAGGAAGAAAUACAAAUGAUCAAUAGGCACAUGAAAAAAUGCUCAAGAUCACUAAUUAUCAGAGAAAUGUAAAUCAAAACUACAAUGAGGUAUCACCUCACACCAGUCAGAAUGGCCAUCAUUCAAAAGUCCACAAAUGACGAAUGUUGGAGAGGCUGUGGAGAAAAGGGAACCCUCCUGCCCUGCUGGUGGGAAUGCAGUUUGGUGCAGCCACUGUGGAAAACAGGAUGGAGAUUCCUCAAAAGACUAGGAAUAGACUUACCAUAUGACCCAGGAAUCCUGCUCCUGGGCACAUAUCCAGAAGGAACCCUACUUCAAAAAGACACCUGCACCCAAUGUUCAUAGCAGCACUAUUUACAAUAGCCAGGUUAUAGAAAUAACCUAAAUGUCCAUCGACAGAUGACAGAAUAGAGAAGGUGUGGUAUAUUUAUACAAUGGAAUACUAUUCAGCCAUAAAAACGACAACAUAACGCCAUUUGCAGCAACACGGAUGUCCCUGGAGAAUGUCAUUCUAAGUGAAGUAAGCCAGAAAGAGAAAGAAAAAUACCAUAUGAGAUCGCUUAUAUGUGGAGUCUAAAAAAAAAAAAAAGAACAUAAAUAACAAAACAGAAACAGACUCAUAGACAUAGAACACAAACUUGUGUUU